Molecule: ribosomal RNA, 646 nt
Filed under: Salmonella enterica subsp. enterica serovar Bovismorbificans
Lineage: Bacteria; Pseudomonadati; Pseudomonadota; Gammaproteobacteria; Enterobacterales; Enterobacteriaceae
Description: partial 23S ribosomal RNA
Rfam family: Bacterial large subunit ribosomal RNA
Source: RNAcentral
GGGUUGUGAGGUUAAGCGACUAAGCGUACACGGUGGAUGCCCUGGCAGUCAGAGGCGAUGAAGGGCGUGCUAAUCUGCGAUAAGCGCCGGUAAGGUGAUAUGAACCGUUAUAACCGGCGAUACCCGAAUGGGGAAACCCAGUGUGACUCGUCACACUAUCAUUAACUGAAUCCAUAGGUUAAUGAGGCGAACCGGGGGAACUGAAACAUCUAAGUACCCCGAGGAAAAGAAAUCAACCGAGAUUCCCCCAGUAGCGGCGAGCGAACGGGGAGGAGCCCAGAGCCUGAAUCAGCAUGUGUGUUAGUGGAAGCGUCUGGAAAGGCGCGCGAUACAGGGUGACAGCCCCGUACACAAAAGCGCAUGUGCUGUGAGCUCGAUGAGUAGGGCGGGACACGUGGUAUCCUGUCUGAAUAUGGGGGGACCAUCCUCCAAGGCUAAAUACUCCUGACUGACCGAUAGUGAACCAGUACCGUGAGGGAAAGGCGAAAAGAACCCCGGCGAGGGGAGUGAAAAAGAACCUGAAACCGUGUACGUACAAGCAGUGGGAGCCCCACCACUAAGCCAGUGGUGAACUCCACAUACGCAUCCUUUGCUGAGGAUACGGUUAACGGAGCGAAAGCGACGUUCAACCUCAAAAGAAGCAGAG